This 866-nucleotide ribosomal RNA is filed under the name Virgibacillus dokdonensis. RNAcentral describes it as "bacterial SSU rRNA". It matches the Rfam family "Bacterial small subunit ribosomal RNA", at positions 17 to 846 of the family's 1533-position model. The record is from RNAcentral. Lineage: Bacteria; Bacillati; Bacillota; Bacilli; Caryophanales; Bacillaceae.
UCCUGGCUCAGGACGAACGCUGGCGGCGUGCCUAAUACAUGCAAGUCGAGCGCGGGAAGCAAGCAGAUCUCCUUCGGGAGUGACGCUUGUGGAACGAGCGGCGGACGGGUGAGUAACACGUGGGCAACCUACCUGUAAGACUGGGAUAACUCCGUGAAACCGGGGCUAAUACCGGAUGAAACAAAGCGUCGCAUGACGCAAUGUUAAAAGGCGGCAUAUGCUGUCACUUACAGAUGGGCCCGCGGCGCAUUAGCUAGUUGGUGAGGUAAAGGCUCACCAAGGCAACGAUGCGUAGCCGACCUGAGAGGGUGAUCGGCCACACUGGGACUGAGACACGGCCCAGACUCCUACGGGAGGCAGCAGUAGGGAAUCUUCCGCAAUGGACGAAAGUCUGACGGAGCAACGCCGCGUGAGUGAUGAAGGUUUUCGGAUCGUAAAACUCUGUUGUUAGGGAAGAACAAGUGCCAUUCGAAUAGGUUGGCACCUUGACGGUACCUAACCAGAAAGCCCCGGCUAACUACGUGCCAGCAGCCGCGGUAAUACGUAGGGGGCAAGCGUUGUCCGGAAUUAUUGGGCGUAAAGCGCGCGCAGGCGGUCCUUUAAGUCUGAUGUGAAAGCCCACGGCUUAACCGUGGAGGGCCAUUGGAAACUGGAGGACUUGAGUACAGAAGAGGAGAGUGGAAUUCCACGUGUAGCGGUGAAAUGCGUAGAGAUGUGGAGGAACACCAGUGGCGAAGGCGACUCUCUGGUCUGUAACUGACGCUGAGGUGCGAAAGCGUGGGUAGCGAACAGGAUUAGAUACCCUGGUAGUCCACGCCGUAAACGAUGAGAUGCGUAGGUGUUAGGGGGUUUCCGCCCCUUAGUGC